AUGCUCAACCACUGUACCACACUGGCCGGGCCAUAAUAUGACAUAAAUCCAUGCUUGGAGAGAAGUGAGCAAGAAACAUGUAUACCAACUGUUUGCAUAUAAAUAAUAUGUCAUAGUUUAACAUAGGGAUUUUGAGGUACAGGUGCUUAUUUCUGAAUUUGAGAUGUAACAUUUGUUGAAUGUUUUAAAAAUUCAUUUUGUCUAUUAUUUAUAACAUUGCCAAGAAAAGGAUAACAUUUAGGCUAAAAUAGGUCCUGUUCAAACAUAGUGAAACUCAUUCUAAAACAGGGACAAGAUUUCAAUCUGAAACAAAUUGGGAGAGGGCUUGUGAACUGCAGCAUAUUCUGAAAGGUAACAUUUACUUUAGCAUAUAGCAACACACUAAAAUAACCACCUGUGUGUGACAUAAUCUAGCUAUAAUUAAUGGUGUGAAGAAAUAAUUGUUUCUUAAUAGAACUGCUAGGAAAACAAUAGAGUUUUAGAAUUAGAAGGGACUUAGAAAUCAUUGAACACUAGCCCAACCUCUAAACCCUGGAAGAAAUUUCCUUGUAAAAUAUUGCUGACAGUCGUCAUCUGUUCUUUCAUUGCCGUUUACAUUUAAUCAGUUCUGCUUAGAUUCUUUAAAUUGGGUUUUGGGAUUAGGAUAGAAUUAGUUGCCACUAUUUAUACUUGUUUAUAAUACAAAUAUAAACUUCACUUUGAACUGCUGCAUAGUUUGAACUGUCAAAUUCUAAAUUACAGAAGUUUUGAAUUUUUGUAAAAUAAUUCAAAUGUUUACUAAUUGUUACACCUGUUAUGUGUGCUAAAAAUAUUUCUGCCAUUGAAGUAAAAAACAGGGUGUCUAAAAUUACUAGCACAACUUUUCACUUGGAAAUCCAAGAACAUGAAAUUAUUUUCCUUUAUAAUUUGUGUAAUCCCUUUCUUAGCAGUAUAAUGAUAAUGGUGAAGGCAAAUAAAAGUUUCACUUGAAUG
This is a long non-coding RNA of Myotis brandtii (Brandt's bat), 972 nucleotides long. RefSeq lists it as uncharacterized. The transcript is spliced from 2 exons. The record is from RefSeq and is a predicted model, not a curated record. Lineage: Eukaryota; Metazoa; Chordata; Mammalia; Chiroptera; Vespertilionidae.